Anguilla anguilla (European eel) is the source of this 269-nucleotide long non-coding RNA. RefSeq lists it as uncharacterized. The transcript has 2 exons. The record is from RefSeq and is a predicted model, not a curated record. NCBI's taxonomy places the organism in Eukaryota, Metazoa, Chordata, Actinopteri, Anguilliformes, Anguillidae.
UUUGAGCAUGCCCAAAUCGUUUUUGAACGGGGUCUCAAAGAUGCUCCUUGGAGCCAGACAUCAACUGGAAACCAGGAGUGAUGAAAAUCAUAUGCUGAUCUCAGAUUGGCAGCACCUGAAGGAAGCCUUUUAUGAGGAGCCCCAUGAUGUCCAAGACAGGAUUCAAUCCAUGGCAACCCUCUGGGUUCCAUGCUGCCGAUGUUCUAUUUUUUGCCCUUUGUUAAUAUAACUAUUUCUUUUUGUAAAUAAAUUCAUCUCUUUUAUAAGCA